GACGAACUUUGGCGGCGUGCUUAACACAUGCAAGUCGAACGGAAAGGCCCUGCUUUUGUGGGGUGCUCGAGUGGCGAACGGGUGAGUAACACGUGAGUAACCUGCCCUUGACUUUGGGAUAACUUCAGGAAACUGGGGCUAAUACCGGAUAGGAGCUCCUGCUGCAUGGUGGGGGUUGGAAAGUUUCGGCGGUUGGGGAUGGACUCGCGGCUUAUCAGCUUGUUGGUGGGGUAGUGGCUUACCAAGGCUUUGACGGGUAGCCGGCCUGAGAGGGUGACCGGCCACAUUGGGACUGAGAUACGGCCCAGACUCCUACGGGAGGCAGCAGUGGGGAAUAUUGCACAAUGGGCGGAAGCCUGAUGCAGCAACGCCGCGUGCGGGAUGACGGCCUUCGGGUUGUAAACCGCUUUCGCCUGUGACGAAGCGUGAGUGACGGUAAUGGGUAAAGAAGCACCGGCUAACUACGUGCCAGCAGCCGCGGUGAUACGUAGGGUGCGAGCGUUGUCCGGAUUUAUUGGGCGUAAAGGGCUCGUAGGUGGUUGAUCGCGUCGGAAGUGUAAUCUUGGGGCUUAACCCUGAGCGUGCUUUCGAUACGGGUUGACUUGAGGAAGGUAGGGGAGAAUGGAAUUCCUGGUGGAGCGGUGGAAUGCGCAGAUAUCAGGAGGAACACCAGUGGCGAAGGCGGUUCUCUGGGCCUUUCCUGACGCUGAGGAGCGAAAGCGUGGGGAGCGAACAGGCUUAGAUACCCUGGUAGUCCACGCUGUAAACGGUGGGUACUAGGUGUGGGGUCCAUUCCACGGGUUCCGUGCCGUAGCUAACGCUUUAAGUACCCCGCCUGGGGAGUACGGCCGCAAGGCUAAAACUCAAAGGAAUUGACGGGGCCCCGCACAAGCGGCGGAGCAUGCGGAUUAAUUCGAUGCAACGCGUAGAACCUUACCUGGGUUUGACAUGGAUCGGGAGUGCUCAGAGAUGGGUGUGCCUCUUUUGGGGUCGGUUCACAGGUGGUGCAUGGCUGUCGUCGGCUCGUGUCGUGAGAUGUUGGGUUAAGUCCCGCAACGAGCGCAACCCUUGUUCACUGUUGCCAGCACGUUAUGGUGGGGACUCAGUGGAGACCGCCGGGGUCAACUCGGAGGAAGGUGGGGAUGACGUCAAGUCAUCAUGCCCCUUAUGUCCAGGGCUUCACGCAUGCUACAAUGGCUGGUACAGAGAGUGGCGAGCCUGUGAGGGUGAGCGAAUCUCGGAAAGCCGGUCUCAGUUCGGAUUGGGGUCUGCAACUCGACCUCAUGAAGUCGGAGUCGCUAGUAAUCGCAGAUCAGCAACGCUGCGGUGAAUACGUUCCCGGGGCU
Molecule: ribosomal RNA, 1346 nt
Filed under: uncultured bacterium
Lineage: Bacteria
Description: partial 16S ribosomal RNA
Rfam family: Bacterial small subunit ribosomal RNA
Source: RNAcentral